RNAcentral lists this ribosomal RNA (1217 nucleotides) under Alujamyia bella. RNAcentral describes it as "partial 16S ribosomal RNA". Lineage: Eukaryota; Metazoa; Arthropoda; Insecta; Diptera; Tephritidae. The record is from RNAcentral.
GCAAAUCAAUAUAAAUUGAUUUAUUAUUUAUUUAUUAAUUUUUUUUUUAUAUUAUUAAUUUAUUAAAAAUAAUUAUAUUAUUUAUUGUUUUAGUAGUUUUUAUUGAAAAAAUAAUUUUUAUAAUAGUGAAUUAUGUAUUGUGAAAGAUUAUUGAAAUAUUUUGAAAAAUUUUUAUUUAAUAAGAAAAUUUAAUUUGUUGUACCUUGUGUAUCAGGGUUUAUUAAAUAAUUAAUAAUUAUUUAUUAAUCUCGAUUUUAUAAGAGUUAAUGAUUUAAAGAAGUUAAUGUGUCAAAAUUAUUUCAAAUAAAUCAUUAGAAAUGAAAUGUUAUUCGUUUAUAAAGGUAUCUAGUUUUUUUAGAAAUAAAUUUAAUUUAUAAAUUUUUGAUUUUUUGGUUAAUUAUUUAAUUGAAAAAGAUGAUUAAUUUAAAUAUUUUAAGGGAUAAGCUUUAAAAUAAAUUUUUAAAAAUGAAUAGUAUUUAUUUAAAAAUUGUAUGUGUAGAAUUAGCAAUCAUUUAUAAGUUUGUUAUAAAUUAUUUUAUUUUUGUUAUUAUUUAUUUAAUUUUGAUUUUUUAUAAAAAUGUUUUUAUGAAUUUUUUAUAAAAAUUAAUAAUGAUAAAAUUAGUAUAUAAAUUUAUUUAUGUUAUAAUAAUUUAUUUUGAUAAGUUUAUAUAAAGAACUCGGCAAAUAUUGUACCCGCCUGUUUAACAAAAACAUGUCUUUUUGAGUUAAUUUUAAAGUCUGACCUGCCCACUGAAAUAUUUAAAUGGCCGCAGUAUUCUAACUGUGCAAAGGUAGCAUAAUCAUUAGUUUUUUAAUUGAAGGCUUGAAUGAACGGUUGGACGAGGUAUAAACUGUUUCAUAUAAAUUUAUAUUAGAAUUUUAUAUUUUAGUAAAAAAGCUAAAAUUUUAUUAAAAGACGAGAAGACCCUAUAAAUCUUUAUAUUUAUUUUAAUUUAAAUUUUUUAGAUUUUUUAUAUUUUUAUUAAUUAUAAUAUUUUGUUGGGGUGAUAUUAAAAUUUAAUUAACUUUUAAUUUUAUUUAAUCAUUAAUUUAUGAUUUUUUGAUCCGUUAAUAACGAUUAUAAGAUUAAGUUACUUUAGGGAUAACAGCGUAAUUUUUUUGGAGAGUUCAUAUCGAUAAAAAAGUUUGCGACCUCGAUGUUGGAUUAAGAGAUAAUUUUAGGUGUAGCCGCUUAAAUUUAAAGUCUGUUCGACUUU